Aedes albopictus (Asian tiger mosquito) is the source of this 887-nucleotide long non-coding RNA. RefSeq lists it as uncharacterized. Lineage: Eukaryota; Metazoa; Arthropoda; Insecta; Diptera; Culicidae. The record is from RefSeq and is a predicted model, not a curated record. The transcript is spliced from 2 exons.
AAACAAGCAACAAAGUAGACGCAGCGAUUACUCUUUAUCCCAACUGGUAACAGAUAAUGACAUGAUCUCGAUUUUUUUUUGUUGCAGACAAAACAGAAGCUGAAUUUGUUGCGUACUUUUCAACUCGUGAAUAAUCAAUUAUUACUAACUCAAAAUCGAAACUUUUUGAUGAUACAUCUUCAGCAGCGUUGCAGUGUUUACCGACAUGAAGUUACCGCUCGAAAAUCAUAAUGCAAGGCUUAAAAAUCUCUAAACUCGUGGUGCACGAUCGUUGUUCUAUUCUGUUCAAGUUGGGACAAACGUAUGUCGCAUUAGGUAGAAUAUCGCAACAAAUUCAGGUUGCGACAUUGUCGUUAUUGUUGCGCGAUGGUUCAAUUUUGAUUUACUGGCGUACCGGUGCCCUGCGGUCGAGAUCGACCCUUACAGCGAUUAAGUGGCCACGGAGAGGAAGUCCCGGUAGCGGUGCUGUCGUGGCGUCGGUCUACUGGGUUGGAUCCGAGCCCGCGGUUGGAAAGGAGUCCCCGGCAAGCAGUUGGGCGCGGGCGGGGUUGACCCUGCCCGCCUUCCGAGGGCAAAGGGAGUGGUGAGGACCACUCGGGAAACUGGCUAAGCGCCAGCAUGCUACCGUGGCAAAGCGAGUCAUCGAUGUUCGUUGCUGCAGGCUACGCAGCUUACCUUGAGGGUGCGAUGUGCACUUGCCCCUCUCUGAAGCAAUGCCUUCUUGGUGGUUCCGGAGAGACGAAGGGUUUGGCGACCAUAGGAAUGUGUUUUAGUGGGUCGAGAAGAGAGUAGUCCUGGCUUUUACUACUGUUGUAGAAGACGGCCUUAACCCCACACUACCCUAACCUUCCUGUUAGGGUGUUUGUUGAGCAGAUUUUCCCCCCUAU